AGCAGCCGCGGUAAUUCCAGCUCCAAUAGCGUAUAUUAAAGUUGUUGCAGUUAAAAAGCUCGUAGUUGAAUUUCGGGAUUGGCGCAUCGGUCGUGCCUCACGGGGUAUGAACUGGUGCAGUCAAUUUCUCACCUUCUGGAGAACCGCGAUGUCCUUAAUUGGAUGCCGCGGGGAACCAGGACCUUUACUUUGAAAAAAUUAGAGUGUUUAAAGCAGGCAUUUUUGCUUGAAUACAUUAGCAUGGAAUAAUAAAAUAGGACGGCAUGGUUCUAUUUUGUUGGUUUCUAGGACCACCGUAAUGAUUAAUAGGGAUAGUUGGGGGCAUUAGUAUUCAAUUGUCAGAGGUGAAAUUCUUGGAUUUAUUGAAGACUAACUACUGCGAAAGCAUUUGCCAAGGAUGUUUUCAUUAAUCAAGAACGAAAGUUAGGGGAUCGAAGACGAUCAGAUACCGUCGUAGUCUUAACCAUUAAACUAUNCCGACUAGGAUCAGACGAUGUUAAUUUUUAAUGUACUCGUUGGC
RNAcentral lists this ribosomal RNA (520 nucleotides) under uncultured Entrophospora. RNAcentral describes it as "SSU rRNA". It matches the Rfam family "Eukaryotic small subunit ribosomal RNA", at positions 569 to 1084 of the family's 1831-position model. Lineage: Eukaryota; Fungi; Glomeromycota; Glomeromycetes; Entrophosporales; Entrophosporaceae. The record is from RNAcentral.